UGGAAUUGACCAGAACAACAUUCCACAUCUUACUCAGGCACCCCACAGCUUACUUGAAGCGCUAAAACAGCAUUUAGCUUCUUUGGAAGAGAAAAAUGACAUUUUACCUCCUCAUAGUCUCCAGCAUGCAUUGAUUCCCUCCAUCCCAA
Molecule: non-coding RNA, 149 nt
Organism: Ceratotherium simum simum (southern white rhinoceros)
Lineage: Eukaryota; Metazoa; Chordata; Mammalia; Perissodactyla; Rhinocerotidae
Source: RefSeq, a predicted model, not a curated record